This 529-nucleotide long non-coding RNA is filed under the name Linum usitatissimum (flax). Its description in RNAcentral is "long non-coding RNA (LUSI_LNC005788)". The record is from RNAcentral. Lineage: Eukaryota; Viridiplantae; Streptophyta; Magnoliopsida; Malpighiales; Linaceae.
GGUUAAAUGGACGUGCGAGUACGAGAGGGUCAGCGACGACGUGGAAGUCCCUCACGUCAUCAAGGACUUCGUCGUCAAGAACUUCAAAGAAGUCGAUGAUUUGACCUUGGCGGCCAAGGCGGCCUGAAUAUUCGAUCGUCAGUAUAACGAAGAUUCCGUUACAUAAUAAGCUAUAUACAGCGUAUUCUAUAUAUUUUUUAUAUGGUCGUAAUUUGAGUUAAAAUAAGCUUGUGGUUUCAGGCGUAUGCAGCUGUUGAUUUGAUCUUGUGUUUUCCCCCCUAUGUAAUGGGUUGUGUUUUUGAGUAAUUGAAUGGUUUAUUAAGUAAGAAUCAACAUCCGGUGGAAAUGGGAUUCCGUUUUCGAAAUUUUAAAAUCUCAAAUCCCUUAAAGGAACCAAUUGAGAACUGAAAUAGUUAACAAGUAAUUGAAGCGGGGAAAAAAGUUACCUGAUUGGCCGGCGGGUUGGGAGGCGGAGGAGGAGGGUACGGAUGCGGCGGCUGCGGGAGAGGGUAGGAAGAAGAAGAAGCAG